Molecule: ribosomal RNA, 459 nt
Filed under: uncultured bacterium
Lineage: Bacteria
Description: partial 16S ribosomal RNA
Rfam family: Bacterial small subunit ribosomal RNA
Source: RNAcentral
CCUACGGGAGGCAGCAGUGAGGAAUAUUGGUCAAUGGGCGGAAGCCUGAACCAGCCAAGUCGCGUGAGGGAAUAAGGCCCUACGGGUCGUAAACCUCUUUUGCCGGGGAGCAAGGGCCGGGACGCGUCCCGGCCCGGAGAGUACCCGGAGAAAAAGCAUCGGCUAACUCCGUGCCAGCAGCCGCGGUAAUACGGAGGAUGCGAGCGUUAUCCGGUUUUAUUGGGUUUAAAGGGUGCGUAGGCGGGCUUUUAAGUCAGCGGUAAAAAUUCGGGGCAAAACCCCGUCCGGCCGUUGAAACUGGGGCCUUGAGUGGGCGAGAAGAAGGCGGAAUGCGUGGUGUAGCGGUGAAAUGCAUAGAUAUAUGGAAGAACACCAGUGGCGAAAGCGGCUCUCUGGUCUGUAACUGACGCUGAGGUUCGAAAGCGUGGGUAGCAAACAGGAUUAGAUACCCCAGUAGUC